Non-coding RNA from Papilio xuthus (Asian swallowtail), 80 nucleotides. NCBI's taxonomy places the organism in Eukaryota, Metazoa, Arthropoda, Insecta, Lepidoptera, Papilionidae. The record is from Rfam.
UCCACGUCUGAGUUGGACGGGGGAUCUAGACAGUUUAAUGUACAAUCCUGCCAGAUCUAUCUUUCCAGCUCACGCGUGGA